GAACGGUAGUUGGGUUUUACACUGAAAAUAUGCAAAUGAGCAAUAAAGGCCGAACCAAGCGUUUGAAUUCUCACCAGCCUUUCCUUUAAAUUAAGGACAACUGCCAUUUUAAGUGGCUUCUUCCAUGUAUUCCCUGAUUUAAAAGUUUUCUUUGCCGGACUAACGAUUAACAUGGUAUAAAAAAAAAAUAACCUAAGUCUGGUUCCUCUUAAAACAUAGAAAUGUUUACGGCUACUAAUCUCCUGAUUAUGUAAUAUAGUAACGCUUUUCCCCGACAAUAAUAAAUUAAGUGCCGCCCAACUCUCAACAAUCCAGGGCGUUGAGAAUAGUCUUAGAUUAACCCAUGGGAUAACAUAAAUAAAUGUUAACUGGAGAAAAGGAGAAAAGUUUUCACCUCUCACUGGAAAGCACGAAAAUAUUAAACUUUCUUUUCCUCUUGCUUGAUGGUGCAGUUCCGCUCAAAGGGCUUAAGUACACCAAUGGAGGCUAGGUCAAAAGAUCAUCCAACAACCUCAAAAACCAGCUGCCAGCAAGAAAUUUGAUCAGUUUAUCAAACAAAAUGUUUAAAAUCAACUACAUCCAUACACACCUUUGCAGAGCAACAGAAAAGAACAACAAGAAAAACCGGCAGAGCCACUGUCAAGAUAUAUACUAUCCAAAGCCAGGGACGUUCUUCAGCAGCAGCCAUCAUUUGGGUCACAACACCAGGCUAGAAGAUAAAUUUAAAUCUAAAUAUAUGCAUAUCCAUUUGGUAUAGUAAACAAUAUAGUUGCCAGAGA
Pantherophis guttatus is the source of this 779-nucleotide non-coding RNA. The record is from RefSeq and is a predicted model, not a curated record. Lineage: Eukaryota; Metazoa; Chordata; Lepidosauria; Squamata; Colubridae.